UACUUAGGAUUCCAGUGGGAGGCAGAGGGUGAAUCUCAAGGCUGGGAUCCCGUCUCCACUGGCCGCUUCAGCAAUGCCCAGAUUACCUCUGCCCAGCCAAGGAGCCUGCCCUCUCCUCCCAAAGGAACCUUCCCUGUGGAAGGGCUGAUGCCAGGCACGCUGGCAAUCCAGGAGGCUUCCCUCUCCCUCAUUGCUCUCGGAAGGGACCAAUCCUCUUCUCAUGGCUCCUGUGCGCCAGCGACAUCCCAAACCCUGCCCAGGAUGGCACCAUCAGUGCAGCUCAGUCCCCUGCCCCAGCCAUUUCCAUCAAGAAGAGUCUGAAAAGACCACCUAUUUUAGUUUCCUGUGGUUGCUGUGAUCAUUACCACGAACUUGCUGACUUAUAAUACCACAAAUGUAUUGUCUCACUGUUCUGGAGGCCAGAAGUCCAAAGGCAAGGUUUCUGCAGGGGUGUGCACUCUGAAGCUUGAGGGGAGGAUCCUCCCUCCCCAGCGUCUGGUGGCUCCAGGUGUUUCUUGUCUUGUGGCCCCAUCACUCCAAUCUCUGUCUCUGUCUUCACGUGGUCUUCUUGCCUGUGUCUCUGUGUCUUCUCCUCUUCUCCGACAAGGACACUUGCCAUUGGAUUUAGGACCCCCUUGGCUACUUCAGGAUGAUUUCACCUCAAGAUUUUUAAUCAUAUCUGCAAAGACCCUGUUUCCAAGUAAGAUCACAUUCUGUGUUUCUGAGACAUGGACAUCUUCUGAGAGGGUCAUAGUUCAGCCCACUCCACCACCUUUGCUCAAAGGAUGCUUCUGCAUUUAACUUAAAUUCCGCAUUCUGAUUCCACAGGUGUACUUAGGCCUAGCUCUGGAUUUCAGAUUUGGCAGGGCCGCGGUCCUCAAACCCCAGUGCCCGGGUCAGCGGGGAACAUUUACCAUGGAGAUUCUGAUGGAGUAGAUCUGGGCAGAGCUCAAGAUUCUGCAUUUGCUACAAGCUCCUAGGUGAUGCUAACAGAGCUGCUGGCCAGGAACCUCCCUCUGAGCAACACGUCUGGUGACUAUGGGAUAAUCCAGGUCCCACCCUGGUGAUCCUGAUCCAGAGGCCCGUUCUCUCCAGGCAGCUUUCAGACCAUUCUGAACUAGGGCUGGCAGUCCCUGCCCUGUGCUCAGGAGCAAGGCCUGUAGGCCAGGGAUGAGCCAAGCUGGCCUGAGCCCUAGCCUGCUCCUAAGAAGGGUGCUUCCCAAUCCUGAAGUUUGGCUGGGAAUUCCAAUAGAAUCUGUGACCUUUCAGAAAGCAUCUACACUCUCCUAGCCCCUUCCUCUCACAUACCACCACUUAGCCCCUGUCUGUCUCUUUAGCCCUCUGAUAAGUUCCCCUUGGGUCCUCAGACAAGCCACACGGUCCUGCAAGCUGCCUCCUGGCUGGAUGUAACCCAACCUCACCACAUGGUAGGGAUGGCCCAGGUGAAGGCACAUGAGGCCCACCUCUCUCUAGCCAGGCCCCGCAUCAGAAGGGCCGCCAGCACAGGAACAGCGAGACCAGCUGGAGAACUGGUUAUUUUAAGUGGCUCCCAACAAAUCAUGUCAUUUCCUCAGCUGUGAAGACUGAGAGCUCUUAGCGCUGUGGCAAAUGCAAGCCACUCUUACCAAUGGACAGUGUGAAAGGAAGAAAGAGAGACCCUGUUGGGGAGAGGAGGGCUCCCCUGCCGGCCUGCAUGGGGCUGAGGAGCAGGGCAGGGAUGGGGUGAUGCCACCACAGCUGAGUGACUCAGCCAGGGUCUGUCUUCUCACUUAGGGUGGCCAGGACCCGAGAUCCCACCUGCGGAAGAUGUCCCUGAGGGCAGUUGACACCUCAAAAUAAAACUUGAGAUUGCUCCUGCAACCAUGAAAAGGAAACAAUUUGUUACCAUAAAAGUGCCAUUUAAUGUGACCCCAGCAGCCUCUGGCUGUCCGUCAUCCUGAUCUGACGUGAAAUAGAUUUGAUGUUAUCUGUAAACAACUACACAUUCCUUUAGAAGAAAGUCAGCUCCGCAGAGGAUACUUGACGUGUUCGCUUGUAGUUGGCUGUGGCUUUGACUUUCCCCACCACUCUGUUUGCUUUGGUUAAUGAGCAGCUGGAAGUGCCUUGCCUCCCGUUUGGCUGAUGCAAACGCUGACUUUUCCAGGAAGGAUUCCAAACCAGGCAUCUGUGGAUGACUUACCUCAUCCCUUCAUUGCUCCCCACCACCCUGCCUCCCCCAAAGAGGAAGUAGCUAUUUUAGGCAAGAGAAAAUGAGAUGCAGGACUUUCCCCAAAGUAGGCGUGUGCCUGAUUCAGGGUGGUGGAGCCCCAUGCCCUGUGAAAGGACAGACAUAGCGUCAUCCACAGACACUGCCCAUGGGUCCAUUUCAUCCAUUGGUGGCUCAUGGGCAAAAGGGAAGAAAAGGAGGGAAGAAACGUGGCAAUUGGUGAGCAGUGUUCUUUGCUAUUAGGCAGAAUCAGCCCAAUGGUGGCAGUCACAGAGGGGCAGAGACCAACUCCACACAAGGAAUUACUUCUGGAACUAGUGAGCGUCUUGUCACAGAGGGUAUGCAAACGGGCAGGAUGAGGGGACCAUUUCUAUUUACUCUCUGCUAGGAGGAGUAAAGUAGACCCUGACCUUGAGGAGCCUAAAAUUCCUCUGCAGAGGCGGGUGGGGCCUGAUAUGGCAAGUGAUCAUCGAGGGUGUGUCUGAUAGAUGUGAACCACUGCUGGGCUUCCAGUGAGUCUCCCCAGCCCUUUGGGAAGGUGCCUGUCCCCAAGACCGCGUGGCUCUGGGGUGUUGUGGGUCAUGUUGCCCUGCCCUGCCUUGCCUCACACGGCCGCUGGGGACCAACCCAUAUAAAUCCCACAUGCAGAGGAAGCCAGAGCCGGAGCAGGAGGCAGAGGCCUGAGGCUGGGCUGGAGCCUGAGCAUAGGGCCUUCUGUCACUUGUAGAGUCCUGGCUGGUACACUGAGGAGAACUAGCUUGUGUGGCUUUCUUUCCAGGAUUGGAGUUCAAUGAUGAGAGGGCAAGGAGAUGGAGUACUUUGAGCUCCUGCAGAAUAAUAACAUCUGGAUCCUAGGAGGGAGAAGGAGCACAUGCCAGCAAUGACACAGAACCAGAAAGGCACCCAGCGCGAAGCUUUCUGUGGAAGGGGCCCAGGUGUUGAAAUCUACAUGACUGAGGUUGUGCAGGAGGGGAAAGGAAACCGCUUUGGAACAGCAGGGGACCCUGGUGGGUGAUGUGUGGAGUAUGUCCCAGUCACCCCAGGGGAGAGGGGUAUGGAAGGGUGUGCUCAAGAUCCACCUUUUCCCUGAGUCCUCCCUUGAUGCAAGCAGGCUGGGAUCAGACCUUGCUUGAAUUCUAGCUCAUCUCCUAGGGAGAUGCUACUUCAGCCAGAAGACCACCUGGAGGACUUCAUGGGGCUUCAGAACCCAGGGGCCUCCUGCCACAUGUUAUCAGUGACUCUGCAGAAUUGUGAUAGUGUGUGAUACCACACGCCACUUGCAGUAACAAGGAGGGAGACUGGCAGAUCUUUGAAGGCAUCCUUCCUGUUAGAAUUUUGACUACCUCCAUACCUACUACAGGAGAGGGAAGUAAAUGCAGUGUAAACCUGAUUUUCUUUCAUUGGCAAACUCUCUGUUGAGGUUCGGAGCAGCCUGUGAUAUCAGUGUCAGUCCAUUUGCAAAACUGAAACUUUGUAACAAGAACUUAGAGAACUAUUGCUACGUGCUUUGAAAAUGAUCCAAGGAAGCUUUCCAAAGUGACUCUGUCCCUGGGAAGGGAGGAAGGGAUCAUAGUAUGCCUGUGUCUGAUUUCUACUGCUGUGUAACAAAUGACCCCAAAACUUAGUGGCUUCAAACAACAAUGAACAUUUAUUAUUUCAUAGUUUCUGUGGGUCAGGAAUUCAGGAGUGGCUUAGCUGGGUGGUUCUGGCUCAGGAAUUGCAUGGGGUUGCAGUCAGGGUGUCACCUGGGGCUGUGUCAUUAGAGGCUCAACUGUGGCUGGAGGAUUUACCUCUGAGCUGGUGCACCCACAUGCCUGGCAGGUUGGUGCUGGUUGUCGGUGGGAGGCCUCAGUUUCCCAGCACGUGGACUCCUCCACAGACCUGUUUGAGUGUCCUUACAACAUGGCAGCUGACUGUUUCCGAAUGAGUGAUUCAAGGAGAGCAAGGCAGGAACCACGUCUUUUAUGACCUAGCCUUGGACAUCAUUUCUGCAAUCCUACUGGUUGCCAGAUGGGUCCUACUCAGUGAGAGGGGACUCCCCAGAAUGUGACUACUGGGGCUCACUGGGCAGCAUCUCAGAACUGCCAUCAUAUUGCUGCAUGGUUGGCCCAUCUGGAACGCUUAGUCUUCAUUCACUGGGUUUGAUUCAAGAACAAAGAGUUAGAAACUCUUCACUUUUUGAAUGCAAGGAAGUAGGCUGACCCCUCAAAGGUGCCAGACAAGCCAUUUUAAGCACAGCUGGGUGAGAUGCAAGGAGGAAGGCUGCAUUCACUCUUACCUGGAAUGCUUGGCACAUACUCAUGCUUUCUAUCCCCAGAGGCUCACUGAUAGAGUUUGUCAGCCUUGUGUCCCUCCUGCCCCAUGUGGGGCCUGUGGAGCUGCUGGUCAACCUAUCCCCUGGCUUUGGGGUCAUGUCUGGCCAGCUGUGGUGCCCCAUUUCCCUACCUAGAGUUGUUGGUCCAAGAGGAGGUUCUCUCUGACUCUGAAAUCCUGAGCUGAGGGUUUACUGUGUAUGCCUGAAGCUAUCAGACAAUGAAGAAAGAAGAGAAAGAGAGAUUUGGCCACCUGGGCCCAGCUAUGACUGAAGCUGUCAAGACACCCAUCUUUCUUCUCUGAAAUUAUGUAAGAAAGUAAACACCGUUGUUUCUGCUUGUUUAUUUUUGCUUAAGUUAACUUCAGCUGGAAUUUCAUCAUCAUAAUUAAAAACAUCCUGACGACUUA
Callithrix jacchus (white-tufted-ear marmoset) is the source of this 4927-nucleotide long non-coding RNA. RefSeq lists it as uncharacterized. Lineage: Eukaryota; Metazoa; Chordata; Mammalia; Primates; Cebidae. The record is from RefSeq and is a predicted model, not a curated record.